Molecule: ribosomal RNA, 468 nt
Filed under: uncultured bacterium
Lineage: Bacteria
Description: partial 16S ribosomal RNA
Rfam family: Bacterial small subunit ribosomal RNA
Source: RNAcentral
GACGAACGCUGGCGGCGUGCUUAACACAUGCAAGUCGAACGGAAAGGCCCUGCUUUUGUGGGGUGCUCGAGUGGCGAACGGGUGAGUAACACGUGAGUAACCUGCCCUUGACUUUGGGAUAACUUUAGGAAACUGGGGCUACUACCGGAUAGGAGCUCCUGCUGCAUGGUGGGGGUUGGAAAGUUUCGGCGGUGGGGGAUGGACUCGCGGCUUAGCAGCUUGUUGGUGGGGUAGUGGCUUACCAAGGCUUCGACGGGUAGCCGGCCUGAGAGGGUGACCAGCCACAGUGAGACUGAGAUACGGCCCAGACUCCUACGGGAGCCAGCGGUGGGAAAUGUGACACAAUGGCAGGGAGCCUGAUGCAGCAACGCCCCGUGCGGGAUGGCGGCCUUCGGGUUAUGAACCGCUUUCGCCUGUAACGAAGCGUAUAUGACGGUAAUGGGUAAAAGAACACCGGCUAACUACGUG